CGUUUUGUGGGGUGCUCGAGUGGCGAACGGGUGAGUAACACGUGAGUAACCUGCCCUUGACUUUGGGAUAACUUCAGGAAACUGGGGCUAAUACCGGAUAGGAGCUCCUGCUACAUGGUGGGGGUUGGAAAGUUUCGGCGGUUGGGGAUGGACUCGCGGCUUAUCAGCUUGUUGGUGGGGUAGUGGCUUACCAAGGCUUUGACGGGUAGCCGGCCUGAGAGGGUGACCGGCCACAUUGGGACUGAGAUACGGCCCAG
RNAcentral lists this ribosomal RNA (257 nucleotides) under uncultured Actinomycetales bacterium. Its description in RNAcentral is "partial 16S ribosomal RNA". It matches the Rfam family "Bacterial small subunit ribosomal RNA", at positions 76 to 334 of the family's 1533-position model. The record is from RNAcentral. Lineage: Bacteria; Bacillati; Actinomycetota; Actinomycetes; Actinomycetales.